This 947-nucleotide ribosomal RNA is filed under the name uncultured bacterium. Its description in RNAcentral is "bacterial SSU rRNA". It matches the Rfam family "Bacterial small subunit ribosomal RNA", at positions 12 to 957 of the family's 1533-position model. The record is from RNAcentral.
UUUGAUCCUGGYUCAGGAUGAACGCUAGCGGGAGGCCUAACACAUGCAAGUCSAACGGGAUUGGGAGCUUGCUCCCAUGAGAGUGGCGCACGGGUGAGUAACGCGUAUGCAACCUGCCUUUAACAGAGGGAUAGCCCAUAGAAAUGUGGAUUAAUACCUCAUAGUUCUGAGAAGUCGCAUGAUUUUUCAGAUAAAGCUCCGGCGGUUAAAGAUGGGCAUGCGUGACAUUAGCUAGUUGGUGAGGUAACGGCUCACCAAGGCUACGAUGUCUAGGGGUUCUGAGAGGAUGAUCCCCCACACUGGUACUGAGACACGGACCAGACUCCUACGGGAGGCAGCAGUGAGGAAUAUUGGUCAAUGGGCGCAAGCCUGAACCAGCCAUCCCGCGUGAAGGAUGAAGGCCCUAUGGGUCGUAAACUUCUUUUAUACACCAAGAAAAAUUCCGACGUGUCGGGACUCGACGGUAGUGUAUGAAUAAGCAUCGGCUAACUCCGUGCCAGCAGCCGCGGUAAUACGGAGGAUGCAAGCGUUAUCCGGAUUCAUUGGGUUUAAAGGGUGCGUAGGCGGCUUUUUAAGUCAGUGGUGAAAUCUUGCCGCUUAACGGUAAAAUUGCCAUUGAUACUGAAAAGCUUGAGUACAAUUGAGGUAAGCGGAAUGUGUAGUGUAGCGGUGAAAUGCUUAGAUAUUACGCAGAACACCAAUUGCGAAGGCAGCUUACUAAACUGUUACUGACGCUGAUGCACGAAAGCGUGGGGAGCGAACAGGAUUAGAUACCCUGGUAGUCCACGCCGUAAACGAUGCUCACUCGCUGUUUGCGAUACACAGCAGGCGGCCMAGCGAAAGCAUUAAGUGAGCCACCUGGGGAGUACGAUCGCAAGGUUGAAACUCAAAGGAAUUGACGGGGGGCYCYGCMCGAGCGGAGGAACAUGGUGGUUUAAUUUCGAUGA